UAGGACUUCAAAACUUAUUGAGGAUCCUUCCUCUAGCGUCAAGUGUUGCUCCUGAUCUCUCUGCCUGAGGGUGGUUGCCGAGGUUGAUGUGGCCGAGGUGAAACCACUGCUGAAGCUUCGCCUGAACACCUGUAAAGAAGUUCUCAUUGGGGUGUUAUCCAGUGAAGACCCUCCGACGCUCAAGUUAGAAGAUGGAGAACAAUGAGAAGAGAGAGCGAGG
Molecule: long non-coding RNA, 220 nt
Filed under: Elaeis guineensis (African oil palm)
Lineage: Eukaryota; Viridiplantae; Streptophyta; Magnoliopsida; Arecales; Arecaceae
Description: long non-coding RNA (EGUI_LNC032255)
Source: RNAcentral